Molecule: unclassified non-coding RNA, 234 nt
Filed under: plant metagenome
Description: partial contains small subunit ribosomal RNA, internal transcribed spacer 1, and 5.8S ribosomal RNA
Rfam family: Eukaryotic small subunit ribosomal RNA (bases 1-54)
Source: RNAcentral
GGAAGUAAAAGUCGUAACAUGGUUUCCGUAGGUGAACCUGCGGAAGGAUCAUUCAUAAUAAGUGUUCUACUGCACUUUUUAAAAAUAGUACUCACCUUGUGUGCAAUGUUUGUUAGACUCUUUCGGGAGUCUGACAUUUAUACCAACCUUUUAUAUUUUGAACCACUUUGUCUGUAAAAUAUUAUGAAUACUUAAUUCUAAAUACAACUUUCAACAACGGAUCUCUUGGCUCUC